Molecule: long non-coding RNA, 208 nt
Organism: Coccinella septempunctata (seven-spotted ladybird)
Lineage: Eukaryota; Metazoa; Arthropoda; Insecta; Coleoptera; Coccinellidae
Exons: 2
Source: RefSeq, a predicted model, not a curated record
CUAAAAUAUGUUCCAAAACCGCAUGUAGGAUAUCAGAGAAAGCAAUAAAUAAAUAAAAUCCGCCUUUAUCUUCCAGUAAAAAAGUGGCAGCCCUAGUGUUUGUUGCGAAUAUGAUAAGAUAAUUGAUGUAUUGGUGAGGAACUUAAUGGAAAUCAUGCAUUUUUUUGUAUCCCAGUUGAUUUUCUGUAUCCUGGUAGUGAAUGGAUUG